Molecule: long non-coding RNA, 438 nt
Filed under: Cottoperca gobio
Lineage: Eukaryota; Metazoa; Chordata; Actinopteri; Perciformes; Bovichtidae
Description: lncRNA (ENSCGOG00000006088.1)
Source: RNAcentral
CUCGGGUAUAAAAAACGACUGCAUGCUCUCUGUUUUUGAGUUAUAGGAAGUCGACCGGGUUUUAAAUUGCGACAGCUCAAAAGAGAAGUUGGUUUGUAAAACUUCAGGAUUAUUUUCACUUCAAACCAUCCAAAGGGUUUAACAGUCGCUCUUUUCUGUUUUGUAAAAGUUGCGGCAUUAUUGUGUUUGCAAAUCCAGGUGAAGAGUUUCAUGGCAGUCCAGUCUGUGAGACUUGUGACAGCCAACAUGUUGCUGAGUGUCUUCUUUCUGUCUGCAAUCUCAGCCAAUGAGAAGCCAAGGAGCGACGGCAUCCAGCAGCACUGCUGUGUGAUUGGUGCAGAGGUGGAUUCUAGGGGAAUUUUUGAGAGGAAAAGUUGCCACAUGGUGCAAAGUGAAUCCAAGUGAAUAUAUAUAGUUGACAGAUUUGGGGACACCAGA